UACGAAGGGGGGCUAGCGUUGCUCGGAAUCACUGGGCGUAAAGCGCACGUAGGCGGACAGUUUAGUCAGAGGUGAAAGCCCAGGGCUCAACCUUGGAAUUGCCUUUGAUACUGGCUGUCUUGAGUUCGGGAGAGGUGAGUGGAAUGCCGAGUGUAGAGGUGAAAUUCGUAGAUAUUCGGCGGAACACCAGUGGCGAAGGCGACUCACUGGCCCGAUACUGACGCUGAGGCGCGAAAGCGUGG
RNAcentral lists this ribosomal RNA (242 nucleotides) under uncultured bacterium. RNAcentral's name for it is "partial 16S ribosomal RNA". It matches the Rfam family "Bacterial small subunit ribosomal RNA", at positions 524 to 764 of the family's 1533-position model. The record is from RNAcentral.